This 113-nucleotide ribosomal RNA is filed under the name Aotus nancymaae (Ma's night monkey). The record is from RNAcentral. Lineage: Eukaryota; Metazoa; Chordata; Mammalia; Primates; Aotidae.
GUCUACAGCCAUAUCACCCUGAACACGACUGAUCUCAUCUGAUCUUGGAAGCUAAGCAGGGUCAGGCCUGGUUAGUAGUUGGAUGGGAGAGGGAAUACUGGGUGCUGUAGGCU